Molecule: ribosomal RNA, 472 nt
Filed under: Streptococcus mutans
Lineage: Bacteria; Bacillati; Bacillota; Bacilli; Lactobacillales; Streptococcaceae
Description: bacterial SSU rRNA
Rfam family: Bacterial small subunit ribosomal RNA
Source: RNAcentral
GACGAACGCUGGCGGCGUGCCUAAUACAUGCAAGUGGGACGCAAGAGAACACACUGUGCUUGCACACCGUGUUUUCUUGAGUCGCGAACGGGUGGGUAACGCGUAGGUAACCUUCCUAUUAGCGGGGGAUAACUAUUGGAAACGAUAGCUAAUACCGCAUAAUAUUAAUUAUUGCAUGAUAAUUGAUUGAAAGAUGCAAGCGCAUCACUAGUAGAUGGACCUGCGUUGUAUUAGCUAGUUGGUAAGGUAAGAGCUUACCAAGGCGACGAUACAUAGCCGACCUGAGAGGGUGAUCGGCCACACUGGGACUGAGACACGGCCCAGACUCCUACGGGAGGCAGCAGUAGGGAAUCUUCGGCAAUGGACGAAAGUCUGACCGAGCAACGCCGCGUGAGUGAAGAAGGUUUUCGGAUCGUAAAGCUCUGUUGUAAGUCAAGAACGUGUGUGAGAGUGGAAAGUUCACACAGUGACG